Molecule: non-coding RNA, 302 nt
Organism: Drosophila virilis
Lineage: Eukaryota; Metazoa; Arthropoda; Insecta; Diptera; Drosophilidae
Source: RefSeq, a predicted model, not a curated record
UGGCGACGCUGCUUUCGCUGCCGCUGCCGCUGCCGCUGCCGUUGGCGCUGUCGAUAAGUCUUCAAGCGGUUUUAAGCAUGACGACUUAGAGAGCUACCUGCUUGUUCGUUCUUAUCAGUUGGGCGCCUCACAUUGACGUCGAAAUCGAAUUCGAAACGGGCCUUAUGGAUUUACAGAGUAUUGUACAAAGAAACUCUUUCGAUAAAGAAGAAGCAAAAACAAAACAAAAGAAUAAAAUAACGGCCGAAGUCUUACUUCAGAUAUACUGAGUGUACAGAGUAUUGUGCAAGUCAGCAACGUUA